Molecule: ribosomal RNA, 447 nt
Filed under: uncultured bacterium
Lineage: Bacteria
Description: bacterial SSU rRNA
Rfam family: Bacterial small subunit ribosomal RNA
Source: RNAcentral
UGGGGAAUCUUGGACAAUGGGCGAAAGCCUGAUCCAGCCAUGCCGCGUGAGUGACGAAGGCCUUAGGGUUGUAAAACUCUUUCGUCGGGGACGAUAAUGACGGUACCCGAAGAAGAAGCUCCGGCUAACUUCGUGCCAGCAGCCGCGGUAAUACGAAGGGAGCUAGCGUUGUUCGGAAUCACUGGGCGUAAAGCGCACGUAGGCGGAUUUGUCAGUCAGGGGUGAAAUCCCGAGGCUCAACCUCGGAACUGCCUCCGAUACAGCAAGUCUCGAGUCCGGAAGAGGUGAGUGGAAUUCCUAGUGUAGAGGUGAAAUUCGUAGAUAUUAGGAAGAACACCAGUGGCGAAGGCGGCUCACUGGUCCGGUACUGACGCUGAGGUGCGAAAGCGUGGGGAGCAAACAGGAUUAGAUACCCCUGUAGUCCCUGAGCGGGCUGGCAAGGCGCAU